Leopardus geoffroyi (Geoffroy's cat) is the source of this 541-nucleotide long non-coding RNA. RefSeq lists it as uncharacterized. The transcript is spliced from 3 exons. NCBI's taxonomy places the organism in Eukaryota, Metazoa, Chordata, Mammalia, Carnivora, Felidae. The record is from RefSeq and is a predicted model, not a curated record.
CUCCGCCCCCGCUCGCUUCUGCCCGCAGCAACCGGUUCCCACGAGCCCUGGGGAGGUUUUGAGACUGGAGGCGGGAGUGGGUUGGACGUGCGUCCCGGCUCCUGAGACCCAGCUGGAGUUUCAGAAUGCUCUCUACCUAGCUGCCUCCUCAACAGUGACAGCCGGGAAACUGUGACCAUCACUGCGUUAGCAGAAAGCCGAGAAACCAUUGGUGAACCGUCCUGACAAACUCCCUGUUAUGGUGGAGCUUACAUUCUGGUGAAAAGGGAGCAGGCCAGAAAUGCCAGGUCAGUUAACAUCCUCAGGGAGCUGCCACCAGCCAGUGAUGAAUGAGAAGUGGAGGAAAAAGUACCCCAGUUCCCCUGCCCUUGGAUGGGACAACUCUGGGUCAUGUUCGCCAUGGAUCCCAACAGGAUUGAGGCCCAGUUACCCUCAGUGAUAAUCUGCUCACUGAUAACUCUUUAGUCAUGCAAACUUCCAUGCCUCUUUCUUUAUGAGUGCUUUCUGGAAUCCCCUCCCAGAUAAACCAUUGGCACUAAAA